AUAUCUUGUCUCAAAGAUUAAGCCAUGCAUGUCUAAGUAUAAGCAAUUUAUACGGUGAAAACUGCGAAUGGCUCAUUAAAUCAGUUAUCGUUUAUUUGAUAGUACCUUACUACAUGGAUACCUGUGGUAAUUCUAGAGCUAAUACAUGCUGAAAACCUCGACUUCGGAAGGGGUGUAUUUAUUAGAUAAAAAACCAAUGCCCUUCGGGGCUCCUUGGUGAAUCAUAAUAACUUAACGAAUCGCAUGGCCUUGCGCCGGCGAUGGUUCAUUCAAAUUUCUGCCCUAUCAACUUUCGAUGGUAGGAUAGUGGCCUACCAUGGUGGCAACGGGUAACGGGGAAUUAGGGUUCGAUUCCGGAGAGGGAGCCUGAGAAACGGCUACCACAUCCAAGGAAGGCAGCAGGCGCGCAAAUUACCCAAUCCCGACACGGGGAGGUAGUGACAAUAAAUACUGAUACGGGGCUCUUUUGGGUCUCGUAAUUGGAAUGAGUACAAUCUAAAUCCCUUAACGAGGAACAAUUGGAGGGCAAGUCUGGUGCCAGCAGCCGCGGUAAUUCCAGCUCCAAUAGCGUAUAUUAAAGUUGUUGCAGUUAAAAAGCUCGUAGUUGAACCUUGGGUUCGGCCGGCCGGUCCGCCUCACCGCGAGUACUGUCCGGCCGUUCCUUUCCUUCUGGGGAAUCCCAUGGCCUUCACUGGCUGUGGGGGGAACCAGGGACUUUUACUGUGAAAAAAUUAAAGUGUUCAAAGCAGGCCUUUGCUCGAAUACAUUA
Molecule: ribosomal RNA, 769 nt
Filed under: Trichocomaceae sp. LM150
Lineage: Eukaryota; Fungi; Ascomycota; Eurotiomycetes; Eurotiales; Trichocomaceae
Description: SSU rRNA
Rfam family: Eukaryotic small subunit ribosomal RNA
Source: RNAcentral